Molecule: ribosomal RNA, 464 nt
Filed under: uncultured bacterium
Lineage: Bacteria
Description: partial 16S ribosomal RNA
Rfam family: Bacterial small subunit ribosomal RNA
Source: RNAcentral
GACGAACGCUGGCGGCGUGCUUAACACAUGCAAGUCGAACGGAAAGGCCCUGCUUGCAGGGUACUCGAGUGGCGAACGGGUGAGUAACACGUGGGUGCUCUGCCCUGCACUUCGGGAUAAGCCUGGGAAACUGGGUCUAAUACCGGAUAGGAGCCAUUUUUAGUGUGAUGGUUGGAAAGUUUUUUCGGUGUAGGAUGAGCUCGCGGCCUAUCACCUUGUUGGUGGGGUAAUGGCCUACCAAGGCGGCGACGGGUAGCCGGCCUGGGAGGGUGGACGGCCACAAUGGGACUGAGAGACGGCCCAGACUCCUACGGGAGGCAGCAGUGGGGAAUAUGGCACAAUGGGCGCAAGCCUGAUGCAGCGACGCCGCGUGGGGGAUGACGGCCUUCGGGUUGUAAACUCCUGUCGCUAGGGACGAAGCUUUUUGGGACGGGACCUAGAUAAGAAGCACCGGCUAACUACGU